RNAcentral lists this long non-coding RNA (535 nucleotides) under Nicotiana benthamiana. Its description in RNAcentral is "long non-coding RNA (NBEN_LNC031216)". The record is from RNAcentral. Lineage: Eukaryota; Viridiplantae; Streptophyta; Magnoliopsida; Solanales; Solanaceae.
AAGGUGUAGAGCCAAAUGUAUUCACCUACAACGCGGUGAUCGAUGGAUAUUGCUUGCACGGUCAAAUGGAUAAAGCAAGGAGACUUUUCGAUUCGAUGGUAGAUAAGAGCAUUAAGCCUGGUUAUCACAUAUAGUUCGUUGAUGGAUGGUUGUUGUAAGCUUGGCCAGUGGGAAAAUGUUAGGAAUUUGUUCUCUGAAAUGGUAAAUCUGAAUAUUUAUCAUAAUGUCCGCACCUUCAGCAUACUGAUAGAUGGUCUAUGCAAAGAAGGGAAAGUUGAAGAUGCUGAGGAGGUAAUGAGACACAUGAUUGUAAAAGGUGUAGAGCCAAAUGUAUUCACCUACAGUACGAUGAUCGAUGGAUAUUGCUUGCGCGGUCAAAUGGAUAGAGCAAGGAGACUUUUCGAUUCGAUGGUAGAUAAGAGCAUUAAGCCUGGCAUUAUUAGCUAUAGCAUAUUAAUAAAUGGAUAUUGUAAGAACAAUAAAUUGGAUGAGGCCAUGCAUUUGUUUCAUGAAAUUUCUCGAAACGGAUUCGAGC